This 824-nucleotide ribosomal RNA is filed under the name Mycobacterium sp. MG3. RNAcentral describes it as "bacterial SSU rRNA". It matches the Rfam family "Bacterial small subunit ribosomal RNA", at positions 33 to 872 of the family's 1533-position model. The record is from RNAcentral. Lineage: Bacteria; Bacillati; Actinomycetota; Actinomycetes; Mycobacteriales; Mycobacteriaceae.
ACGCUGGCGGCGUGCUUAACACAUGCAAGUCGAACGGAAAGGCCCUUCGGGGUACUCGAGUGGCGAACGGGUGAGUAACACGUGGGUGAUCUGCCCUGCACUCUGGGAUAAGCCUGGGAAACUGGGUCUAAUACCGGAUAGGACCACACACUUCAUGGUGAGUGGUGCAAAGCUUUUGCGGUGUGGGAUGAGCCCGCGGCCUAUCAGCUUGUUGGUGGGGUAAUGGCCCACCAAGGCGACGACGGGUAGCCGGCCUGAGAGGGUGACCGGCCACACUGGGACUGAGAUACGGCCCAGACUCCUACGGGAGGCAGCAGUGGGGAAUAUUGCACAAUGGGCGCAAGCCUGAUGCAGCGACGCCGCGUGAGGGAUGACGGCCUUCGGGUUGUAAACCUCUUUCAGUAGGGACGAAGCGAAAGUGACGGUACCUACAGAAGAAGGACCGGCCAACUACGUGCCAGCAGCCGCGGUAAUACGUAGGGUCCGAGCGUUGUCCGGAAUUACUGGGCGUAAAGAGCUCGUAGGUGGUUUGUCGCGUUGUUCGUGAAAACUCACAGCUUAACUGUGGGCGUGCGGGCGAUACGGGCAGACUAGAGUACUGCAGGGGAGACUGGAAUUCCUGGUGUAGCGAUGGAAUGCGCAGAUAUCAGGAGGAACACCGGUGGCGAAGGCGGAUCUCUGGGCAGUAACUGACGCUGAGGAGCGAAAGCGUGCGUAGCGAACAGGAUUAGAUACCCUGGUAGUCCACGCCGUAAACGGUGGGUACUAGGUGUGGGUUUCCUUCCUUGGGAUCCGUGCCGUAGCUAACGCAUUAAGUACCCCGC